UUUAAACAAAUGGACACAUAAGAUACUACACUAUAUUUAACCUUCGUUCUAAUAAAAAUAAUAAAAUAUAAAUUUUGAUCGCAUUUGCGCCGUUCUGCAUUUCCUUUUUUUUAUUCUUUCACAUGCGUAGAUUUUGUCUUAUAUUUGCGUCGAUCUGCAUUUCAUUUUUUUUCUUCUUCACUUGCGUAGAUUUUGUCUUUCGUUUGCGCCGAUUGUGUACAGGUAAGUUUUUUUUUUCCCCGAUUUAUGGGCAUUAUGUUU
This 261-nucleotide long non-coding RNA is filed under the name Mytilus galloprovincialis (Mediterranean mussel). The record is from RNAcentral. Lineage: Eukaryota; Metazoa; Mollusca; Bivalvia; Mytilida; Mytilidae.